AAGCGCUUGUGACCAGACUUGCGUCCGGUGAAUCACCCAGCUCUCGCGGCUGGGGCACUUCGCCGGCACAGGCCAGCAUCAGCUUGCCGUCGGGGACAAAAGCUUCAGGAACGUAGCUCUCUUCGGGGAGUGUUAUAGCCCAUUGCAUAAUACCCUGGGGCGGACUGAGGUUCGCGCAUUCGUGCAAGGAUGCUGGCGUAAUGGUCAUCAGCGA
This 214-nucleotide ribosomal RNA is filed under the name Colletotrichum sp. RNAcentral describes it as "partial large subunit ribosomal RNA". The record is from RNAcentral. Lineage: Eukaryota; Fungi; Ascomycota; Sordariomycetes; Glomerellales; Glomerellaceae.